Danio rerio (zebrafish) is the source of this 637-nucleotide non-coding RNA. NCBI's taxonomy places the organism in Eukaryota, Metazoa, Chordata, Actinopteri, Cypriniformes, Danionidae. The record is from Ensembl.
UGUAAUCUGUAUGCAAUGUACAGUAUAAGUCCUGCAAAUCUCAAUGACGGAGAUUUUUGUAACUUGUAAACAAGGAGGCCGCUGUCAUUUUUGGAGAUUUGCCAUCAAUAAUAAGCUGGGAAUUACUUCAGAAGACCAAAACAAUCAGACAAGACAUUAUUUUGAGGAUGAUAUUGCUUAAGAUGUAAACAGAAACUGACAUUAAAGGAGGUUGGUGUCAUGAUCUUGUUUCCUUUGAGUGCGCAUUAGAUAAAAACAAGCAGACUUUGUGUGUUUUGAACACUAUUUGAGACAGUUGUUUAAUUUUAUUCAUGAUUCCAAAUAUGAACGUAAGCUUGGCAAACAGCUUUGGAGAAUUUGAUGUUUCCCCAGUCAAACAGAACUGCUCAACAAGCGUUUCAAAGAUGGCCGCCGAGUGAAAUUACUUGCCUUAAAGGAAUUUUAGUACGGUUAAGGUUAGGGUUGGGGGGAGGCCACUCUUCAAUAAUGUUACUUUCUUUAUACUAAUAAAUUCAUACAAACUAGUCCCUCGGCAAACAGCUUUGGAGAAUUUGAAGUUUCCUCAUUCAAACAGACUUGCCCAGGAGGCGUUUCAAAGAUGGCCGCCGAGUAAAAUUACUUGCCUUAGAUGAAUUUU